UAGAAAGAGAGGAGCGUGCGGAGGGCUGGUGCGCCCACCCCCAACCCCAGGUGACCCCCGCCUCCGCGCUGGCCCUGGUCCCCUCCCUCUCCCGGCCGAGCGCGCCUCCGGGGUCAGUCCCUCCGGGCUGCGCGUGUGUGUAUCCCAGAGCUCCGCUCCGGGGUCUGUUCUGCCGCUGGCGGCUCCGCGCCGCACAGCCCUGCACUAGAGAACUGGAGUAGAGAAGGAGAAGCCAACGGCAAAUUCCGGGCAGGAAGUCGACCUACCCUUGCCUCUGGCCAGGUCGCAGUGUAGCAAUAAAAAUCACAUGUCAGUUCAGACAGCAGCAGGAAUAGCUGACUGGAAAGAAACUCCAAGGGACUUCAGAUAAUAUGAUUUCAGGAGGCUGGCCGGGAGCUCAGACACCAUUCAAAACAUCUUGACUUUCAUGAGAGCUUCUUAAGACCCACCUCACUCAGACGUCGUUUUCUCAAAAACGGAGGGCAAGUUUAUUCAUAAUCCACAUCAAUCCAGUUGAAAAGGGAGGGAGCAGAGUGAGGAUGAAAGAAGACAAAAAUAUUUACUCCUUCAGUGAUGAACAAAGAGGGCCAAGCUCUCGGUUCUGUGUUUCUACACCUUUGCUGAUAUCUUAAUAAAAUUA
Molecule: RNA transcript, 640 nt
Organism: Gorilla gorilla gorilla (western lowland gorilla)
Lineage: Eukaryota; Metazoa; Chordata; Mammalia; Primates; Hominidae
Exons: 3
Source: RefSeq, a predicted model, not a curated record